This 465-nucleotide ribosomal RNA is filed under the name uncultured bacterium. RNAcentral describes it as "partial 16S ribosomal RNA". It matches the Rfam family "Bacterial small subunit ribosomal RNA", at positions 28 to 507 of the family's 1533-position model. The record is from RNAcentral.
GACGAACGCUGGCGGCGUGCUUAACACAUGCAAGUCGAACGGAAAGGCCCUGCUUGCAGGGUACUCGAGUGGCGAACGGGUGAGUAACACGUGGGUGAUCUGCCCUGCACUUCGGGAUAAGCCUGGGAAACUGGGUCUAAUACCGGAUAGGAGCCAUUUUUAGUGUGAUGGUUGGAAAGUUUUUUCGGUGUAGGAUGAGCUCGCGGCCUAUCAGCUUGUUGGUGGGGUAAUGGCCUACCAAGGCGGCGACGGGUAGCCGGCCUGAGAGGGUGGACGGCCACAGUGGGACUGAGAUACGGCCCAGACUCCUACGGGAGGCAGCAGUGGGGAAUAUUGCACAAUGGGCGCAAGCCUGAUGCAGCGACGCCGCGGGGGGGAUGACGGCCUUCGGGUUGUAAACUCCGUUCGCUAGGGACGAAGCUUUUUGUGACGGUACCUAGAGAAGAAGCACCGGCUAACUACGUG